AGCGUACACGGUGGAUGCCCUGGCAGUCAGAGGCGAUGAAGGGCGUGCUAAUCUGCGAUAAGCGCCGGUAAGGUGAUAUGAACCGUUAUAACCGGCGAUACCCGAAUGGGGAAACCCAGUGUGAUUCGUCACACUAUCAUUAACUGAAUCCAUAGGUUAAUGAGGCGAACCGGGGGAACUGAAACAUCUAAGUACCCCGAGGAAAAGAAAUCAACCGAGAUUCCCCCAGUAGCGGCGAGCGAACGGGGAGGAGCCCAGAGCCUGAAUCAGCAUGUGUGUUAGUGGAAGCGUCUGGAAAGGCGCGCGAUACAGGGUGACAGCCCCGUACACAAAAGCGCAUGUGCUGUGAGCUCGAUGAGUAGGGCGGGACACGUGGUAUCCUGUCUGAAUAUGGGGGGACCAUCCUCCAAGGCUAAAUACUCCUGACUGACCGAUAGUGAACCAGUACCGUGAGGGAAAGGCGAAAAGAACCCCGGCGAGGGGAGUGAAAAAGAACCUGAAACCGUGUACGUACAAGCAGUGGGAGCACAGGUUUACCUGUGUGACUGCGUACCUUUUGUAUAAUGGGUCAGCGACUUAUAUUCUGUAGCAAGGUUAACCGAAUAGGGGAGCCGGAGGGAAACCGAGUCUUAACCGGGCGUUAAGUUGCAGGGUAUAGACCCGAAACCCGGUGAUCUAGCCAUGGGCAGGUUGAAGGUUGGGUAACACUAACUGGAGGACCGAACCGACUAAUGUUGAAAAAUUAGCGGAUGACCUGUGGCUGGGGGUGAAAGGCCAAUCAAACCGGGAGAUAGCUGGUUCUCCCCGAAAGCUAUUUAGGUAGCGCCUCGUGAAUUCAUCUCCGGGGGUAGAGCACUGUUUCGGCUAGGGGGCCAUCCCGGCUUACCAACCCGAUGCAAACUGCGAAUACCGGAGAAUGUUAUCACGGGAGACACACGGCGGGUGCUAACGUCCGUCGUGAAGAGGGAAACAACCCAGACCGCCAGCUAAGGUCCCAAAGUCAUGGUUAAGUGGGAAACGAUGUGGGAAGGCCCAGACAGCCAGGAUGUUGGCUUAGAAGCAGCCAUCAUUUAAAGAAAGCGUAAUAGCUCACUGGUCGAGUCGGCCUGCGCGGAAGAUGUAACGGGGCUAAACCAUGCACCGAAGCUGCGGCAGCGACACUGUGUGUUGUUGGGUAGGGGAGCGUUCUGUAAGCCUGCGAAGGUGGCCUGUGAGGGUUGCUGGAGGUAUCAGAAGUGCGAAUGCUGACAUAAGUAACGAUAAAGCGGGUGAAAAGCCCGCUCGCCGGAAGACCAAGGGUUCCUGUCCAACGUUAAUCGGGGCAGGGUGAGUCGACCCCUAAGGCGAGGCCGAAAGGCGUAGUCGAUGGGAAACGGGUUAAUAUUCCCGUACUUGGUGUUACUGCGAAGGGGGGACGGAGAAGGCUAUGUUGGCCGGGCGACGGUUGUCCCGGUUUAAGCGUGUAGGUGUGUGUUCCAGGUAAAUCCGGUUCACUUUAACACUGAGGCGUGACGACGAGGCACUACGGUGCUGAAGCAACAAAUGCCCUGCUUCCAGGAAAAGCCUCUAAGCAUCAGGUAACAUCAAAUCGUACCCCAAACCGACACAGGUGGUCAGGUAGAGAAUACCAAGGCGCUUGAGAGAACUCGGGUGAAGGAACUAGGCAAAAUGGUGCCGUAACUUCGGGAGAAGGCACGCUGACACGUAGGUGAAGUGAUUUACUCAUGGAGCUGAAGUCAGUCGAAGAUACCAGCUGGCUGCAACUGUUUAUUAAAAACACAGCACUGUGCAAACACGAAAGUGGACGUAUACGGUGUGACGCCUGCCCGGUGCCGGAAGGUUAAUUGAUGGGGUCAGCGCAAGCGAAGCUCCUGAUCGAAGCCCCGGUAAACGGCGGCCGUAACUAUAACGGUCCUAAGGUAGCGAAAUUCCUUGUCGGGUAAGUUCCGACCUGCACGAAUGGCGUAAUGAUGGCCAGGCUGUCUCCACCCGAGACUCAGUGAAAUUGAACUCGCUGUGAAGAUGCAGUGUACCCGCGGCAAGACGGAAAGACCCCGUGAACCUUUACUAUAGCUUGACACUGAACAUUGAGCCUUGAUGUGUAGGAUAGGUGGGAGGCUUUGAAGUGUGGACGCCAGUCUGCAUGGAGCCGACCUUGAAAUACCACCCUUUAAUGUUUGAUGUUCUAACGUGGACCCGUUACCCGGGUUGCGGACAGUGUCUGGUGGGUAGUUUGACUGGGGCGGUCUCCUCCUAAAGAGUAACGGAGGAGCACGAAGGUUGGCUAAUCCUGGUCGGACAUCAGGAGGUUAGUGCAAUGGCAUAAGCCAGCUUGACUGCGAGCGUGACGGCGCGAGCAGGUGCGAAAGCAGGUCAUAGUGAUCCGGUGGUUCUGAAUGGAAGGGCCAUCGCUCAACGGAUAAAAGGUACUCCGGGGAUAACAGGCUGAUACCGCCCAAGAGUUCAUAUCGACGGCGGUGUUUGGCACCUCGAUGUCGGCUCAUCACAUCCUGGGGCUGAAGUAGGUCCCAAGGGUAUGGCUGUUCGCCAUUUAAAGUGGUACGCGAGCUGGGUUUAGAACGUCGUGAGACAGUUCGGUCCCUAUCUGCCGUGGGCGCUGGAGAACUGAGGGGGGCUGCUCCUAGUACGAGAGGACCGGAGUGGACGCAUCACUGGUGUUCGGGUUGUCAUGCCAAUGGCACUGCCCGGUAGCUAAAUGCGGAAGAGAUAAGUGCUGAAAGCAUCUAAGCACGAAACUUGCCCCGAGAUGAGUUCU
RNAcentral lists this ribosomal RNA (2776 nucleotides) under Salmonella enterica. RNAcentral's name for it is "bacterial LSU rRNA". It matches the Rfam family "Bacterial large subunit ribosomal RNA". The record is from RNAcentral. Lineage: Bacteria; Pseudomonadati; Pseudomonadota; Gammaproteobacteria; Enterobacterales; Enterobacteriaceae.